RNAcentral lists this ribosomal RNA (502 nucleotides) under uncultured soil bacterium. RNAcentral's name for it is "bacterial SSU rRNA". It matches the Rfam family "Bacterial small subunit ribosomal RNA", at positions 26 to 517 of the family's 1533-position model. The record is from RNAcentral.
AGGACGAACGCUGGCGGCGCGCUUAACACAUGCAAGUCGAGCGAGAACCAGUCCUUCGGGACUGGGGACAGCGGCGAACGGGUGAGUAACACGUGGGUAAUCUGCCCUCGAUUCUGGGAUAGCCCGGGGAAACCCGGAUUAAUACCGGAUAGCCUCUCGAGCUUUCGAGCUCGUGAGAAAAGGUAGCUUCGGCCUCCGAUCGAGGAUGAGCCCGCGGCGGAUUAGCUUGUGGUGGGGUAAUGGCCUACCAAGGCGACGAUCCGUAGCUGGUCUGAGAGGACGAUCAGCCACACUGGGACUGAGACACGGCCCAGACUCCUACGGGAGGCAGCAGUGGGAAUCUGCGCAAUGGGCGAAAGCCUGACGCAGCGACGCCGCGUGGGGGAAGAAGGCCUUCGGGUUGUAAACCGUCUUUCGAGCAGGACGAAGCCGACUCGGUUAAUAGCCCAGAGGUGACGGUACCUGCAGAAGAACGCCCGAGUAACACGUGCCAGCCGAGCCG